AUGGGGGGCACCCACAGUCCCUUUAAACCGCCUCCCCGCCCCCCCCCCCCGGUGUCUGCCAACCUUUUCCGAACCCCCGUGUCACAGAACUUCCUCAUCAUGGAAACUUCCACUCGGUUCGGCGCUAAGGAUGCCAAACUCCAUUUCACAAGGAGCCUGUCAACAGCUGGGCUUGGGGGUUUGAGGAACAGAGCGGCUGCGAUUGGAGGGGGCCCCCAGACACCCUGCUCCGCCACUGCCCACGCUGGGGCUCCCCGACUGCCGCCGCGCGGUGCCGGAGCACGAGGGGCACCUCCUCCCGGACCCGGGGUGCAGAAGCCCCGCGGAGGCAGCUUCUUGCGAGCAUCCCACGGAAGAGGGCGAGGAGCCACCACUCUGGCUAGCCACAACUGUCCAGAAAUUCGGGAACUGCUGCCUGCGCCUGGACGCACGGUGUUUCAGGGAAGUUCCUGGGCUCUGCUCCAAUGCUGCCCCGGGAUGUUUUGGUUGCUUUGGAGGAAAGCUGUGGAGUCUGCACCGUUUGUUCCAAAUAGGCGGCCCCCUGGUGGCUAACUGUGGGUGAAAAAUCAGGCCACUGAGGAAAAAGCUUGGCUUUGACAGGCCACUACAGUUGACAGCCGGGUCUGCGCAGGGGCUAUUGAGACAUGCGAACGACUUUGUAAUGGGGGGGAGGGGAGGGGUGGAGUGGGCGGGGCAUGAUGCGAGUCUUCCUUCACAAAGGUGAAUAAUAGGCCCUGAAGCCUAAUGGGACUUUGAAUUUUUUUUCCUCUUCCUGAGUGUAACUUGGAGCUAGAUUCCAUCUUAAGAAGGAAAACAUCACACGGAGAAUGAAGUAUAACAAACACUGUUGCUCCCCUUUGUUCAAAUGGCUUUGCUUUUCUGAUCUCAUUUUGCCUGGAAACUUUUGAAAUAAAAAGUAAAUUACAACAUUAAAUAAAUAACA
This 943-nucleotide long non-coding RNA is filed under the name Felis catus (domestic cat). RNAcentral's name for it is "lncRNA (ENSFCAG00000043205.2)". The record is from RNAcentral. Lineage: Eukaryota; Metazoa; Chordata; Mammalia; Carnivora; Felidae.